This 367-nucleotide ribosomal RNA is filed under the name uncultured bacterium. RNAcentral describes it as "bacterial SSU rRNA". It matches the Rfam family "Bacterial small subunit ribosomal RNA", at positions 29 to 425 of the family's 1533-position model. The record is from RNAcentral.
AACGAACGCUGGCGGCAGGCCUAACACAUGCAAGUCGAACGCUCCGCAAGGGGAGUGGCGCACGGGUGAGUAACACGUGGGAACCUACCUUCUGGUACGGAACAACCAAGGGAAACUUUGGCUAAGACCGUAUACGACCUCCGGGUGAAAGAUUGAUCGCCGGAAGAGGGGCCCGCGUCCGAUUAGGUAGUUGGUGAGGUAACGGCUCACCAAGCCUUCGAUCGGUAGCUGGUCUGAGAGGAUGACCAGCCACACUGGGGACUGAGACACGGCCCAGACUCCUACGGGAGGCAGCAGUGGGGAAUAUUGGACAAUGGGCGCAAGCCUGAUCCAGCCAUGCCGCGUGAGUGAUGAAGGCCUUCGGUUG